Long non-coding RNA from Malus domestica (apple), 1386 nucleotides. RefSeq lists it as uncharacterized. NCBI's taxonomy places the organism in Eukaryota, Viridiplantae, Streptophyta, Magnoliopsida, Rosales, Rosaceae. The record is from RefSeq and is a predicted model, not a curated record.
UCAACUCUCCCGUGCAUCUCUUUCUUCCUCUCUCCCUCUCUCCCUCAAACUCUCGUCUCUCUCUCUCUCUCCUUGGACUCUCGAGGACCUUAGCACCACUAGGAGAGACUCUCCACGAACCAGGACCCCUCUGCCCGCGAGAUUGACGACACGGAGCAAAGCUCCGGUGGGCUUUCCUUCCCUUUUUCGUUGGAGUUUUUGCUUCGGAACCGUUGUGGGUGAGCACACCCAUUUUCCGGCGAACAGUGGACCUUGGGAGCUUUUUCCGGUUACCUUCGACCGAGUUACGGUGUUUGGAAGGUAAAGUUGCUAGUGGAGAAAUUCUAUAUCCUUAUUCGCGCGAUUCUUCUGCUAAGGAAUAUUUGUGAGUGGACAAUUUCUAAAAUUACAUGAUUUUAUAGUAAUUGCAUAAAUGAUUAGCAUGCCUACGAAUUUAUGAUUUGAUUUAUGUGAAGCCUAAUGAUUUAAGAUAUUGAUUAGCGUCUUGUGUUUUGGUGAGGAAUUAAUUGUUUACCUAUAUUGAACUAUAUUUUAAUAUAUCGUAUUUUCUAUAAAAAUCAUGAACUGGUAGACUAUUCGAUGGAUAACGAUAGGAUGCUAGAACAUGUUUUGGAAACCCCUCUUAUAGUAUAGACGAUGGAUGACUUUAUACUAUGAAGUGGUUAUUUAUGAGAGGCGUAACUUGAAACACCCCAACCCCAUUUUAUUUAAAAAUUGUUUUAAAGCCUUAAUUGGUGAGCUUGUGGGGCCCACCUUGUUUUAUUUUUCUUGUGUUUUUCCAGUCUCUCUCUCUCUCUCUUCUUUUCUCUAUCUCUUCCGUGCUCUUUCUCAGCACUCCCUCCUUCUCCCCGUGAACCAAAACCACACACCCUCACUUCCACACCACCAUCAUCUCUGGAACUUUCUUCUCUCUCCCCUGUCUCGGCGAAGCUUCGGGACACCCAGAGAACACCCAAGUUCCCCCCAACGACUCCGACGACUUUCGAGGCCAUUUCCGGCCAAACCACGGCGAGUUGGCCGGCGUGCAAGUUUCCGGCGAGUCCGACGGCUUUCGAGGAAUUUUCCGGCCAAACCAUGGCGAGUUAGACGUCAUGUGAGGUAUCAUUCUCUUCGUCUCUUCGAGGGCUACAACUUUCGUUUUUGUCUUGCUUGAUUUCGUUGUGUAGUGACAAAGUUAUAGCCGUUUAAAGUUAGGUGGUUUUCCGACCGAAUUUUCGGCCUUCUCUGUCUCGGCAAAACCAGGCCACCGGCCUUCCUUUUCCUUUCCCCUUGGGCCUUAAGCCCGUUAAAACCCCCCAGCCCUUUAGUUCUUUUUUUUGGGUUAAACUCAGUUUACUACCCUCAAGUUUCGUGGUUUUCAACAUUUAGUACAUCAAGUUUUUUUCG